GCCAGCAUGGCUCAGUGGUUGAGCAUUGAGCUAUGAACCAGAAGGUCACGGUUCGAUUCCCGGUGGGGGCA
This is a non-coding RNA of Myotis brandtii (Brandt's bat), 71 nucleotides long. The record is from Rfam. NCBI's taxonomy places the organism in Eukaryota, Metazoa, Chordata, Mammalia, Chiroptera, Vespertilionidae.